ACUCCUACGGGAGGCAGCAGUGGGGAAUAUUGGACAAUGGGCGAAAGCCUGAUCCAGCAAUGCCGCGUGAGUGAUGAAGGCCCUAGGGUUGUAAAGCUCUUUUACGCAGAGAUACUGUACCGGGAGAAUAAGCCCCGGCUAACUCCGUGCCAGCAGCCGCGGUAAUACGGAGGGGCGUAGCGUUGUUCGGAAUUACUGGGCGUAAAGCGCACGUAGGCGGCUUUGUAAGUCAGAGGUGAAAGCCUGGAGCUCAACUCCAGAACUGCCUUUGAGACUGCAUCGCUUGAAUCCAGGAGAGGUCAGUGGAAUUCCGAGUGUAGAGGUGAAAUUCGUAGAUAUUCGGAAGAACACCAGUGGCGAAGGCGGCUGACUGGACUGGUAUUGACGCUGAGGUGCGAAAGCGUGGGGAGCAAACAGGA
Molecule: ribosomal RNA, 419 nt
Filed under: uncultured bacterium
Lineage: Bacteria
Description: bacterial SSU rRNA
Rfam family: Bacterial small subunit ribosomal RNA
Source: RNAcentral